Molecule: ribosomal RNA, 497 nt
Filed under: uncultured soil bacterium
Lineage: Bacteria
Description: bacterial SSU rRNA
Rfam family: Bacterial small subunit ribosomal RNA
Source: RNAcentral
AGAUUGAACGCUGGCGGCAGGCCUAACACAUGCAAGUCGAGCGGUAGAGAGGUGCUUGCACCUCUUGAGAGCGGCGGACGGGUGAGUAAUGCCUAGGAAUCUGCCUAGUGGUGGGGGAUAACGUUCGGAAACGGACGCUAAUACCGCAUACGUCCUACGGGAGAAAGCGGGGGACCUUCGGGCCUCGCGCCAUUAGAUGAGCCUAGGUCGGAUUAGCUAGUUGGUGAGGUAAUGGCUCACCAAGGCGACGAUCCGUAACUGGUCUGAGAGGAUGAUCAGUCACACUGGAACUGAGACACGGUCCAGACUCCUACGGGAGGCAGCAGUGGGGAAUAUUGGACAAUGGGCGAAAGCCUGAUCCAGCCAUGCCGCGUGUGUGAAGAAGUCUUCGGAUUGUAAAGCACUUUAAGUGGGAGGAAGGUUGUAACUUAAUACGUUGACUAACGUUUGAACGUUACGACAGAAUAAGCACCGGCUAACUCGUGCCAGCAGCCGUA